UACGUAGGGCGCAAGCGUUGUCCGGAAUUAUUGGGCGUAAAGAGCUCGUAGGCGGUUUGUCGCGUCUGCUGUGAAAACCUAAGGCUCAACCUUGGGCUUGCAGUGGGUACGGGCAGACUAGAGUGCGGUAGGGGUGACUGGAAUUCCUGGUGUAGCGGUGGAAUGCGCAGAUAUCAGGAGGAACACCGAUGGCGAAGGCAGGUCACUGGGCCGCAACUGACGCUGAGACGCGAAAGCUAGGGGAGCGAACGGG
This 253-nucleotide ribosomal RNA is filed under the name uncultured bacterium. RNAcentral's name for it is "partial 16S ribosomal RNA". It matches the Rfam family "Bacterial small subunit ribosomal RNA", at positions 524 to 776 of the family's 1533-position model. The record is from RNAcentral.